Long non-coding RNA from Gouania willdenowi (blunt-snouted clingfish), 1658 nucleotides. NCBI's taxonomy places the organism in Eukaryota, Metazoa, Chordata, Actinopteri, Blenniiformes, Gobiesocidae. The record is from Ensembl.
AUGGAUUGUUUCUGGAAGUGUUUGAUUCUGUGUUUCAUCCAGCAAACCACCACCGUUUCAUCAGAUUAUGCCGUGUCUCUAAUCUGCAAGGACACUGUGGAAGUCCCGCAUGGACAAUCUGUGACCAUUAACUGCACCACAGUAUGGCAUCAUGACAAAUGUUCCUGCUACAGUUAUUUGUUAAGAAUGAACAAAAAUAACACCCAAUAUAAGUGGAAUGAGGAAAACUUUGUCGUGGACAUCCCAGUGGUCACAAAACAGGAAAUUGUCGAAGUUUCGGUGCACUGUCAGUGUGGAGAUUACAACAAGUCUAUCACACUACAACCAUACGUCAUGCUUCCAAUCUGCGAUGACCCUGUGAAAGUCCAGUGUGGACAAUCUGUGACCAUAACACCAAAGGAUGGAAACCAAUCUGACUGCCAGAAACAUUGGUUGUCUAGAAUGAACCAAAAUACAACCAAAUAUGAGUGCAAAGGAGAAAACUAUGUGUUGGAGAACAUCCCAGAGGUCACAAAGACGGAAAUUGUCAUGGUUUCAGUGAUAUGUCAUGAAGAAAGGAUCAAAACGUCUAUCACACUGCCACCAUGUUUCAAUUUGACAGAAUCAGAACUGAUGACCAGUGAGGGGUCUCCAGUCAAAUCCACAGUGACCACCAUCGUGCUCUCUGUUCUGUUCACUGUUGUUGGUGUUGCUGCUGUUGCGUAUGUUGUCUAUAAAAGCCGCACACGCAGAAUGUAUACCAACCCAGGGGCGUAGCACCACAUUUUGGGCCCUGGGUGCAAACCAUCUUGUUGGGUCCCCCCUACUGUAAAUUAUGUACACUUUUUUUUUUUCUUGCCCGGAAACUAUACAAGUAUUCUUGCAUUGUUAUAUAAGCUUUUUUUUUUUAUUCACAAUAACCUAAUGACUCCAUAUCCACUGCUUAAAUUUUACAAAUCUGUUUUAUUUUUUUAGUGGUUUGUUGAAUAUUAUGUUUGUGACAUACUUUAGCUGGUCAUAUGUAUAUAUAUACUGUAUAUACAAAUUAUUUUUUAUCCUCAGAUAGUCAAUUACAAUUACAUUCUCAAUUUCUAAAGUUCAAUUACAAUUAAUUACCGUGUUAGCUUUCUGUUAGCAUCUCUUAUGAUAACAGGUCUUAAAUCAGCUGUAAAAUACACUAAAAACAAAUAUCAAUCUUCUAUUUUCUUUCCUAUCUAUUGGAAAUAGGCUUCCUAAUCAAAGAAAAUAUAGGUUUUAAUAUUUGUUUCAAAGGUAAAAUGUAGGAAAGGUUGAUAUGAAACGUAUUUUAAUAAUUGUUAACUGCAUAUGUGUAGAACUGUACAUAGAACUGUAACAUGGUUCCCCAGUUUUGCUUUACAUUAUAAUUGACAGUUUGUGUAGAAUUUUCAUGGCAAUUGCAAUUACAAAGUCUAUUAUCUGAACUCAGUUACGAUUACGACAGCAACAGAUUUUUAAAAUUACAAUUACAAAUAUAAUGACGCCAUAAUUGUAACUAAUUAUAACUGACCCCAACCCUGAUAUACAGUACAUCAUUCAGGCAUGAUGGGGGGGCCCUGGAUUCUCAGUACUCUGCACCCCGUCACCCCCACCCCCAAUUCAAAUAGAACAGGAACUUAGUUCUGUGUAAAUAAAAUGUUCAGUGAUGAUUUUCUGUUUCA